UGGGGAAUUUUGCACAAUGGAGGAAACUCUGAUGCAGCGACGCCGCGUGAGUGAUGAAGAUCUUCGGAUUGUAAAACUCUGUCCUUAGUGAAGAUAAUGACAGUAACUAAGAAGCAAGCCCUGGCUAAAUACGUGCCAGCAGCCGCGGUAAUACGUAUGGGGCAAGCGUUGUCCGGAAUUAUUGGGCGUAAAGGGUACGUAGGCGGUUUAAUAAGUCCUAAUUAAAAGGCUAUGGCUCAACCAUAGUAUGGUUAGGAAACUGUUGAACUUGAGUAGAUGAGGGGAAAGUGGAAUUCCAUGUGUAGCGGUGAAAUGCGUAGAUAUAUGGAGGAACACCAAUGGCGAAGGCAACUUUCUGGAAUCAAACUGACGCUAAGGUACGAAGGCGUGGGGAGCAAACAGG
This 403-nucleotide ribosomal RNA is filed under the name Fusobacteriota bacterium. RNAcentral's name for it is "Fusobacteria bacterium partial 16S ribosomal RNA". It matches the Rfam family "Bacterial small subunit ribosomal RNA", at positions 355 to 776 of the family's 1533-position model. Lineage: Bacteria; Fusobacteriati; Fusobacteriota. The record is from RNAcentral.